AGAAACCAACAGGGAUUGCCCCAGUAACGGCGAGUGAAGCGGCAACAGCUCAAAUUUGAAAUCUGGCUUCGGCCCGAGUUGUAAUUUGUAGAGGAAGCUUCUGGCGCGGUGCCAUCCGAGUCCCCUGGAACGGGGCGCCAUAGAGGGUGAGAGCCCCGUAUGGAUGGAUGCCUAGCCUGUGUGAAGCUCCUUCGACGAGUCGAGUAGUUUGGGAAUGCUGCUCAAAAUGGGAGGUAAAUUCCUUCUAAAGCUAAAUAUUGGCCAGAGACCGAUAGCGCACAAGUAGAGUGAUCGAAAGAUGAAAAGCACUUUGAAAAGAGGGUUAAACAGCACGUGAAAUUGUUGAAAGGGAAGCGCUUGUGACCAGACUUGCGCCAGGCUGAUCAUCCGGUGUUCUCACCGGUGCACUCUGCCUGGCACAGGCCAGCAUCAGUUUUGGUGGGGGGAUAAAGGGCGCAGGAACGUAGCUCCUCCGGGAGUGUUAUAGCCUGUGUCGUAAUGCCCUCGCCGGGACUGAGGACCGCGCAUCUGCAAGGAUGCUGGCGUAAUGGUUAUCAGCGACC
RNAcentral lists this ribosomal RNA (563 nucleotides) under Garciamycella cyclaminis. RNAcentral describes it as "eukaryotic LSU rRNA". It matches the Rfam family "Eukaryotic large subunit ribosomal RNA", at positions 60 to 649 of the family's 3401-position model. Lineage: Eukaryota; Fungi; Ascomycota; Sordariomycetes; Sordariales; Schizotheciaceae. The record is from RNAcentral.